Molecule: long non-coding RNA, 922 nt
Organism: Limanda limanda (common dab)
Lineage: Eukaryota; Metazoa; Chordata; Actinopteri; Pleuronectiformes; Pleuronectidae
Exons: 3
Source: RefSeq, a predicted model, not a curated record
CAACGGAGAUGUUCGAUUCUUCGAGCCCCGGACACCAGACUCCAUCAACAUUCUGCAGACGGUGAAGGGGUUAACAGCUCUGGACAUCCACCCACAGGCUAACCUGUUCGCCUGUGGAUCAAUGAACCAGUUCAUCGCUGUCUACAACGCUAACGGCGACGUGAUCAGCAACAUUAAAUACUACGACGGCUUCAUGGGACAAAGGAUCGGGGCCAUCAGCUGUUUAGCCUUCCAUCCCAACUGGCCGCACUUGGCCGUAGGCAGCAACGACUACUACAUGUCCAUCUACUCAGCAGAGAAGAGACUCAGAUAACACACCAGCAUUCAGCGCACCCCUCCCUCCCCACCAAAACCAACACAUAUGACUUCUGACCCCGAGCCUCCAGCUCUGGAUGUAAAUGACUUUUUGUCGUUGUACAUAUGCAAUUACCACCCUGAAUGUUCUAGUGAUGGCUGCUGACAAAAACUGCUACGACUAUAUAUAUUAUUAUUUUUAUCAUUGUUUAAUCACAUUCUUAUAAUUAAGCUCAUGAUUGUAGACCUGGCUGUGCAGAGGAGUGCAUAUAUUUAAAUAGCAUAUACAGAAGAAGAGAGGAUCUAUUUUAAAGAAGUGGUACCCAGGGCUCCUCGUCGCCGCACAGCAAGCAUCCUUCCUGAACGAGCUGUGACCCCACAUCAGAUAUGGCGAGGGAGGGGUCUCCCAGAGGACGACACGGUUAAAACACAUUCACUGGUGCAGGAAACCCGGACUGCUGGACCCUGGUGUGUUUAUACAUUUAUUUUAAUGGCUGACCCGCAGCCAAACUACGCAGAGGUUUGCUGUAUUGCUGCACCGCCAGCUGGACAUUUGUAAGGACACAGAGAUGUUGGACUGCACUCAUUCUAUCCUGACACAUGGACCAGGAAGACAUGAUGAGUGUGU